UGAAGCCGCUUCAGACCAGGUUGUGGCGCUUAUUCUGUCACUCAACUGCACUAAAGUGGAGAAGCAGAAGAUUGUGUUGUGGUCAGCUGUCCACGCCUGCGCGUUCAUACAGUGUUGUUGGAAGAAAAGAAAGAAGAGCUGAACUGUUGAAGGCAAUGGCAUUUCGGAGUUCUCCCAUUUGGAUUACAUGAGGUGCCAGCCACCUUCUAGUGCCUCAUGGAAGUGAUCCUGCAGCCGCACUAAGCUUUUGCUGCAGUCUACCUGGAUGAUGCAAUUUGCCACAUGGGCCGAGCAUGUUAUAUAACUACAGAUGCCUCUGCAAGGCUAGACUCUCAGCCAACCCCACAAAAUGCUACCUCAUUUUAUGGGUAGCUUUUAUGGCCUGAAGAGAAAAAGGUUGAUGCCAUAAUUGACUUUCCCCCACCCACUAAGACUGAGGUACAUGUUUUCUUAAUGUUGGCCAGCUGCUGCUGGUAGUUCAUGCUUAACUACCCUCUUUCCUCUCAGACCUCAUGAAGAAAGGACACCCUGACGAUAGUCACCUAAAGCGGAACCUGAAACGUCCAAAUGCUAAAAUACCACCUGAUCACAGAACCAGUCCUAAGGAACCCUGAUUUUGACGAACAGUUUGUUGUACAGACUGAUGUGUCAGAGAGAGGUUUGGGAGCAGUCCUGGGAGGAAUAUCCAUUAUUGUACAUCAGCUGUAAACUUUCCCCUGCUGAUCAGCAUUAUGCCACCCUGGAAUGAGAAGCUUUGGCCAUCAAAUAGGCCAUUAAAGAACUGAGAUACUAUUUGACUGGUGUGGAAUAGGCCAGAGGUGCUGAAUGGCAAUGCCAUUGUCCUUUCCCUUCUGCCUGCUUGCUGGGCAUCCAAACCUGUCAGAAACCAGGGAGCAGUGGACAAUUGAUGUUUAUUUCUUGCACGCAGGUACCAGAAACAAAAAAAGGUAAAACAGUGGACUGACACAAUUUUAUAGUUUGACUGAUGUCAAGAUUAGUCAUGUAUAACAAUAAUAAGAAAAAUAUCCAGAACAGAAUGUUAGGUUCAAUCAAAGCACAUGCACACACAACACUGAAUGUGAUAACAUAACACAGCACUAAACACAUUACACAGCAGUACAUUUCUUUAUUCCUCCCAUGUAUGUUCCUGAAAACUUAAUAAAUCAAUUUUUGGCUAGUAUUUUCCUCUUUCUACAUGUCCUAAAACAGGCCUUUUCCCUCAGUCCACAUACAGGCAAUUGGGGAAGUGAAGUGUUUCCAUGUUUAUAAGGAAUGUCUAUGUUAGUAUAGUGUAGACAUGAAGCACCUAGAGUAAUUUUGAAAGAAAAUAAAUAACAAAAGCUACUAGUACUGGUGUUUAUUCUGUCUUAGUUAUUAUACAGCUUGUUGCAGUGUUAGGAGUAUUCUUGUUUCGUGAUUCAAUAGAGGCAGCGGUUAUUCUGAGGGAGCAAGGGUUGAUGUGAACAAACAGUAAGGAGGUGUCGGUACUAAGAGCAAUUUGGCCCCCAUCCCAAGUCUGGACAUUUGUUAUAUAACAACUCAUUUAUUCUAAGUUAGGUUUUUAUUUUAGGUUAUUCUGCCUUCUUAAGCAAAAAGGGGUAUAAAACUAAGAAAAGGUAAAAGAACUGAAAAAAACUGCAAAAAGUAAAAGAAAAAAACUAACUUCAGUCGAUGAGGUUUUUUGGAAGGAAGGUCCCAUCUUCAUUUAUUGGCUUCAGGUGGCAAGAUGGUUCCCAGGCAACCAAAUGCAAAGAUCAUCACAAAAAAAUCCAUUUUUAUAUCCUGCUUGGGGGUGAUUAAAUUAUUGCCCCUCCCAAUCACCUUGUCACAUAUCAUCUUAGUCCCUAUUACAUCCUGACUCUGCACUUCUCUUGGACACCCUUAUUUCCAAUCAUACAUGACAUUGUUU
This is a long non-coding RNA of Pygocentrus nattereri (red-bellied piranha), 1909 nucleotides long. RefSeq lists it as uncharacterized. NCBI's taxonomy places the organism in Eukaryota, Metazoa, Chordata, Actinopteri, Characiformes, Serrasalmidae. The transcript is spliced from 3 exons. The record is from RefSeq and is a predicted model, not a curated record.